UCAUGAUAAAGGCACACCUGAUGAAAAUCAGUGUCGCAAAGCUAUAGGGACUAAGGUGCUAUUGUACUAUGUCAGCCAGUUACCAAA
This 87-nucleotide non-coding RNA is filed under the name Neobacillus vireti. Its description in RNAcentral is "Bacillus vireti c-di-GMP sequence". It matches the Rfam family "c-di-GMP-I riboswitch aptamer". From Rfam's summary of the family: GEMM was predicted in a large-scale screen for bacterial structured RNA regulatory elements. RNAcentral also lists the same sequence under 1 other name. Lineage: Bacteria; Bacillati; Bacillota; Bacilli; Caryophanales; Bacillaceae. The record is from RNAcentral.